UCUCCAAAAAAAAAAAAAAAAAAAAGAAGGAUUUUUUUUUUUUUUAAGAUCAUCAGCUAUUGUUAUUGUUAGUGUAUGUUAUGUGUGGCCCAAGACAACUUUGCUUCUUUAAUAUAGCCAGGGAAGCCAAAAGAUUGGAUAUCCCUGCUUUAUACCAAGAAAGAUGACACCCCACAUUUGCAAUGCCUAAAAGCACUACCAGCCAUCCGAAAAACAUGAGACUUCUAACUUCUGUUCUUUUUUGUAGCAGUGGAAUCCCACGGUGAUAUCUGAUGGAUGUGGUUACCUUUUGGAGGAGGUUGACAGUUUCUAAGGAUGAUUCUUUCUGAGUGAAAUAUUGUCAGUGUCAUUGACCUUUUCAUUAUUUCAACUAUUAUUAUUCCAGGUUAUCCAUUCUCUGCAUGACCAUUUUCAUCCUGGGACUGACUUUUGUGGAAUUCCGUGGAUAGUUAUCAUUAUUGUGUUUCUGGGAAUUUCUACACUUGCCAUUUUCCUCUGGAAAACUAAUCUUUGUGUGUCUUUCCUGAAGACUGUCUUAAAGUCACGAAAUGUACAUGACAGAUCCACAGAUGUACAUCGGAAAGCCUGGAGGUCCAAUAGCCGUAGCCAGGAAGGGCAAAGGUCCACUCGUAUGCACACAAAGAAA
Nomascus leucogenys (northern white-cheeked gibbon) is the source of this 646-nucleotide long non-coding RNA. RefSeq lists it as uncharacterized. NCBI's taxonomy places the organism in Eukaryota, Metazoa, Chordata, Mammalia, Primates, Hylobatidae. The record is from RefSeq and is a predicted model, not a curated record. The transcript is spliced from 3 exons.